GUCCACGCCGUAAACGAUGAGCACUAGCUGUCGGGGGUAUCGACCCCUCCGGUAGCGCAGCUAACGCGAUAAGUGCUCCGCCUGGGGACUACGGCCGCAAGGCUAAAACUCAAAGGAAUUGACGGGGGCCCGCACAAGCAGCGGAGCGUGCGGUUUAAUUCGAAGCUACGCGAAGAACCUUACCAGGGCUUGACAUGCACGGGACAGCCGGUGAAAGCCGGUCUCCUUCGGGUCCGUGCACAGAUGCUGCAUGGCUGUCGU
This 261-nucleotide ribosomal RNA is filed under the name uncultured bacterium. RNAcentral's name for it is "partial 16S ribosomal RNA". It matches the Rfam family "Bacterial small subunit ribosomal RNA", at positions 793 to 1055 of the family's 1533-position model. The record is from RNAcentral.